Molecule: long non-coding RNA, 365 nt
Organism: Fukomys damarensis (Damara mole-rat)
Lineage: Eukaryota; Metazoa; Chordata; Mammalia; Rodentia; Bathyergidae
Exons: 3
Source: RefSeq, a predicted model, not a curated record
UUGAUUGCCAAAUUCUGACUCCUCCUUCACUUUGUGACAUUGGCCAGAGUCCCGGGCUGGAGGCUCAGCUUCCUUGUCACAGAGCCGCUGCUGUAUAGAAGCCCCAUAAAGGCAUGUAGCAUUAGACCCAUGAGUGUGCCUGGUGAAGUUCCCUAGGAAGUGUUGGAAGACAGCUUUGAAGUGCAGGUGAGGACCAUGUCUCUGUUUUCAUCACUUCUUCUUCUUCUCCUGAGUAUGUCGACAUCUCAUUCAGAAACUGUACCCAAUGAGGAUAUCUGAACCACCUGCCCUGUGAUUGCCUGUGGUUCUCCAGGAUUGAAUGGUUUCCCGGGCAAAGAUGGACAUGAUGAUGCUAAGGGAGAAAA